GUUGAUUGGCUGCAAUUAGGCAGUUUCACAAAUAUCAACUAAUAGGGAGAUAUUUUCACCACAAUUGAUAGCACUAUGAAGUUUCCUGGCUGCAUUACCUGUUAUCAAAAGGCCUCAUUUGUAAGAUAUUUCUUCUUUAUUGUAUGUUUUCUGAUGAAUGGCAGGAAAUAGUUCCUUGCAUGAUCAUUUAACAUGCUUAUCUGUUUGUUGCCAUCUUUGCCCAGAGGUGAUUUAAUUUUCUUCUGCCUGUCAGUUAGAAUAGGACAGUACCUUUUUUUUUUUUUACCUUCACUUAAAUUCCAGUCUGAAAUGAAUCAUUUCCAGGUGAGCUCAGAUCUGGUCAAGAAAAUAAAUCUGGGCCCAUGAUAGCUCUCUUUUCUGCAGUCUUUGAUAUGUAUAAUAAAAUAAGUCCCAAACUACUGCUGCUAGUUUCAUAAAGCACCAACUUCCACGAGGAAUCUGAUAACUGCCAACCCUCAUUCCGGGAAGACUUAGGCAUUUUAUACCAACUCUUAUCCAAUUCAUUUCAUUUAUCGCAGACAACAAAACUGCUUUCCUCAGAGAACUUGGAGAGAAGAGGAAACACAAGAAGAAACGCCUGGUGCAGAGCCCCAAUAAUGCCCAAGAUGCUAUAAAAUCACCACGGUCUUUAGCCAUGCACAAACGGUAGUUUUGUGUGUUGGCUGCUCCACUGUCCUCUGCCAGCCUAUAGGAGGAAAAGCAAGGCUUACAGAAGGAUGUUCCUUCAGGAGAAAGCAGCACUAAAAGCACUCUGAGUCAAGAUGAGUGGGAAACCAUCUCAAUAAACACAUUUUGGACAAAAAAAAAAAGUACACAAAUGGAGAGCUCAGUACUUUGAUAAUAAAAUAGAGCUUCAAGGUUUCAUUAGUAAAUUGUGUGUCCUCACCGCAUAUGAUCACAAAGACCAUAUGAGCAUUAUAUAGAAUCAUGUAUGUUCUUCCCACCACAGACUCCCCUAUCUCCUGACCAAUCUACCAACUCCGAAUAAAGAAGGGAAAAAAACUCAUCCUUUUAGAAUCUGCUUCCGAAAGUUUAGAGCACUAGAUAGUCUUUUGGGGUCAGGAAUUAUUAAUCCUAGACAUGAUCAUCAAAAUAAUAAAAAUAGCAACAAAAGCAUUAAUAAUAAUAAUAGUUGUCAUAAUAUUGAAUACUUAUGUAAGGAUUUACAUACAUUGCCUAAUUUGAUUUUCACAACCCUGCUAAAGUAUGUAUUAUUAUGUUAUGCAUUUUAUAAAUGAAGAAGGCAAGACUUGGAGAAGUUAUAUCAGCUAAUUAAUAUAUUGAGUCAGCAAUAAAACUGUUUAUUUCACCUGGGUGCAGGUGGGCUGAGUCCGAAAAGAGAGUCAGCGAAGGGACAUAGGGGUGGGGCCAUUUUAUAGGAUUUGGGUAGGUAAAGGAAAAUUACAGUUAAAGGGGGGUUGUUCUCUGGCGGGCAGAGUGGGGGUCACAAGGUGCUCAGUAGGGGAGCUUUUGAGCCAGAAUGAGCCAGGAGAAGGAAUUUCACAAGACAAUGUCAUCAGUUAAGGCAGGAACGGCCAUUUUCACUUCUUUUGUGGUGGAAUGUCAUCAGUUAAGGCAGGAACCGACCAUCUGGAUGUGUAUGUGCAGGUCACAGGGGAUAUGAUGGCAUAGCUUGGGCUCAGAGGCCUGACAUAGGUUAUAAAACUAGUUUUCAUAUAUUUUCAUAGUUUCUACUAUAGUUAUCUAAUGGUCAAUAACUUUUAUUUUUAAAAAUUGUUACUGUUAUUUUUAUCAUUAUUUUUGCCUAAUAAUUACAUUUUUUUCUUUAUUUGCUAAACUAUUGAAGUACAAAGACAAAUGAAGGCAUCAGAAAUGGUCUUGUUCAUUUCAUAGUCUAUCAUUACGAACAAGACAUGCUAACAGAUGGUUUAAUACAGCGAGAUGAUCUCUAUCAUGAUAUGAAAAAUGUGCUGUGGUAUUUCAAGGGAAGAAGACAUUAAAGAUUAGUUCUACCUCAGAGUGGGAGAAGGUAAAGGCUGACAGCUGCUGGAAAGAUGACAAGAAAAUCUUCAUUAAUGUUAUGACAUUUAGGCUUCCUCAUAGCCUGUCUAGGUCAAUUCAGUUGAGUCCCCCAUUUUCCACAAGGACUAUUUCAGACUUUAUCCACCCCUCUUCACAUUUAUAAUGCCCACUCUCCUCCCCAUACUCUUAACAGGUGACAGUGCUUUUCAAACAAGUUUUGGAAGAAAAAGAACCCUGGUGUGUAAAAAAGUUAUUAGUACUUGUAGACUUGUUACAAGGAAUGAAAAUAAGGCACGAGGCAUGCCUAGCACAUAGAAGGCAUUAAAAGCCAUAAUAGCCAAUAAAAAUGGCCACCAUUAUUAUUAUAUUUAAUAGACUGGAAUUUCUUACCAGUAUCCAACUGGGUCCACAUUUCCUUUUCCUUGUAUUUCUCAUACAUAUCAUGGCACCUACAAUGGCUAGAUUAAUAAAGGAAAACCUACAAUACAGAGACCAAGAUUAUGAAGAGGGUCUUUUGUAAUGUAGCCCAGGAUGGACUAGGAGUCAUUCUUUUAACAUAAGAGGACACAAGAGAAUAACUUCUUAGGGGAACAUAAAUUUAUAAAUGCUGUAUUACCAGCUCUUUUAUUGAUCAACAUAGUGAAUUUAUAAAUAUUCUAGAAUAAAUUUAAAAAUUAAUAAAAAUCAUCUUUUGCAAUAAUAAAAGAACACUGGUUUUUCAGAUUCUCUACUUCAAGAUAAUGCCAUCCUGGGAGCUUCUACUCCUCCCUAUUUUACUUUCAAGAUCCUACUCUUGUAUUCAAUAACAGAAUUAGAAGUGACUAAUCAUGACUAACAACACAGGAGAGAAGACUGACUUUUCUAGGGACUGGCAGAAAGAUUUUAAUCAUAAUUGGUUGUCUAGGCCUAUCAAAUCAAUAUCACAACCGAUUUAUAAGUUGUAUUUUUCAAUUUGGAAAACACUGCUGUAAAGAUCUCAAAAUAUUAUUCUCUGAUCCAAAUGGGAAGAAAUUCAAGAAAUGGGGCUUUCUCCUAGAGACAAUAAAUUGUCUACAAACAAACAAACAAACCCUCCUUCCUCUGGAAGACUAAGACAAGUGAGGUAGGAAACUGUUUCAGGCAUAAGGAUCUGUCUUACUAAAUGCGUUUAAACAAUCGCUAAAGCUUGAUGGUAAAAGGCCAAAAUCUCACAACAUUGUGGGAAAUCUACAGUACUACGUUUGAAUUCACCCUGUAGUUCCCCGUUAUUGCUUCCAGAGAUGGAGUUAUGCAUUAAAUG
RNAcentral lists this long non-coding RNA (3283 nucleotides) under Homo sapiens (human). RNAcentral's name for it is "non-protein coding lnc-CALCR-1:1". Lineage: Eukaryota; Metazoa; Chordata; Mammalia; Primates; Hominidae. The record is from RNAcentral.